CUUCCGAUUGAAAGGGACGAGAAGUGCAUCCGCGGAAUGGAGGACACCAAGAGACACGUUCUCAUGCAAAAGCAAAGGGUUUAUU
This is a long non-coding RNA of Perognathus longimembris pacificus (Pacific pocket mouse), 85 nucleotides long. RefSeq lists it as uncharacterized. The record is from RefSeq and is a predicted model, not a curated record. The transcript is spliced from 2 exons. Lineage: Eukaryota; Metazoa; Chordata; Mammalia; Rodentia; Heteromyidae.